This 253-nucleotide ribosomal RNA is filed under the name uncultured bacterium. Its description in RNAcentral is "partial 16S ribosomal RNA". It matches the Rfam family "Bacterial small subunit ribosomal RNA", at positions 524 to 776 of the family's 1533-position model. The record is from RNAcentral.
UACGUAGGGGGCAAGCGUUGUCCGGAUUUAUUGGGCGUAAAGGGCGCGUAGGCGGCCUGUUAAGUCGGACGUGAAAUCCCUCGGCUCAACCGGGGAACUGCGUCCGAUACUGGCGGGCUUGAAUUCGGGAGAGGGAUGUGGAAUUCCAGGUGUAGCGGUGAAAUGCGUAGAUAUCUGGAGGAACACCGGUGGCGAAGGCGGCAUCCUGGACCGACAUUGACGCUGAGGCGCGAAAGCCAGGGGAGCAAACGGG